UACGUAGGUGACCAGCGUUGUCCGGAUUUACUGGGCGUAAAGAGCGCGCAGGCGGUCGUUCAAGUCGAGUGUGAAAGCCCCCGGCUCAACUGGGGAGGGUCAUUCGAUACUGAUCGACUGGAAGGCAGGAGAGGGAAGCGGAAUUCCCGGUGUAGUGGUGAAAUGCGUAGAUAUCGGGAGGAACACCUGCGGCGAAGGCGGGUUGCUGGGCCGACACUGACGCUGAGGCGCGAAAGCCAGGGGAGCGAACGGG
Molecule: ribosomal RNA, 253 nt
Filed under: uncultured bacterium
Lineage: Bacteria
Description: partial 16S ribosomal RNA
Rfam family: Bacterial small subunit ribosomal RNA
Source: RNAcentral